Molecule: long non-coding RNA, 287 nt
Organism: Cucurbita maxima (winter squash)
Lineage: Eukaryota; Viridiplantae; Streptophyta; Magnoliopsida; Cucurbitales; Cucurbitaceae
Exons: 3
Source: RefSeq, a predicted model, not a curated record
AAGCAGAGGUAUCAAAGCAGGGUGCAUUCGGGAAUGCGGACACAGGUGGUGCAUGACUGUCGUCAGCUCGUGCCGUAAGGUGUUGGGUUAAGUCUCGCAACGAGCGCAACCCUCUUGUUUAGUUGUCAACCGUUGAGGUUGGAACCCUGAGCAGACUGCCGGUGAUAAGCAGGAGGAAGGUGAGGAUGACGUCAAGUCAUCAUGCUCCUUAUGUCCUGGGCGACACACAUGCUACAAUGGUUGGGACAAAGAGUCGUGAUCCCGCGAGGGUGAGCUAACUCCAAAAA